GACGAACGCUGGCGGCGUGCUUAACACAUGCAAGUCGAACGGAAAGGCCCUGCUUUUGUGGGGUGCUCGAGUGGCGAACGGGUGAGUAACACGUGAGUAACCUGCCCUUGACUUUGGGAUAACUUCAGGAAACUGGGGCUAAUACCGGAUAGGAGCUCCUGCUGCAUGGUGGGGGUUGGAAAGUUUCGGCGGUUGGGGAUGGACUCGCGGCUUAUCAGCUUGUUGGUGGGGUAGUGGCUUACCAAGGCUUUGACGGGUAGCCGGCCUGAGAGGGUGACCGGCCACAAUGGGACUGAGAUACGGCCCAGACUCCUACGGGAGGCAGCAGUGGGGAAUAUUGCACAAUGGGCGGAAGCCUGAGGCAGCAACGCCGCGUGCGGGAUGACGGCCUUCGGGUUGUAAACCGCUGUCGCCUGUGACGAAGCGUGAGUGACGGUAAUGGGUAAAGAAGCACCGGCUAACUACGUG
RNAcentral lists this ribosomal RNA (468 nucleotides) under uncultured bacterium. RNAcentral's name for it is "partial 16S ribosomal RNA". It matches the Rfam family "Bacterial small subunit ribosomal RNA", at positions 28 to 507 of the family's 1533-position model. The record is from RNAcentral.